AUUGAACGCUGGCGGCAGGCUUAACACAUGCAAGUCGAGCGGAGAUGAGGUGCUUGCACCUUAUCUUAGCGGCGGACGGGUGAGUAAUGCUUGGGAAUCUGCCUAUUAGUGGGGGACAACACCUCGAAAGGGAUGCUAAUACCGCAUACGUCCUACGGGGGAUAGCAGGGGAUCACUUGUGACCUUGCGCUAAUAGAUGAGCCUAAGUCGGAUUAGCUAGUUGGUGGGGUAAAGGCCUACCAAGGCGACGAUCUGUAGCGGGUCUGAGAGGAUGAUCCGCCGAACUGAGACUGGGACACGGCCCAGACUCCUAAGGGAGGCAGCAGUGGGGAAUAUUGGACAAUGGGGGGAACCCUGAUCCAGCCAUGCCGCGUGUGUGAAGAAGGCCUUAUGGUUGUAAAGCACUUUAAGCGAGGAGGAGGCUCUUUUGGUUAAUACCCAGAAUGAGUGGACGUUACUCGCAGAAUAAGCACCGGCUAACUCUGUGCCAGCAGCCGCCGUAA
This 503-nucleotide ribosomal RNA is filed under the name uncultured bacterium. RNAcentral's name for it is "partial 16S ribosomal RNA". It matches the Rfam family "Bacterial small subunit ribosomal RNA", at positions 30 to 523 of the family's 1533-position model. The record is from RNAcentral.